This is a long non-coding RNA of Salvia miltiorrhiza (redroot sage), 1681 nucleotides long. RefSeq lists it as uncharacterized. NCBI's taxonomy places the organism in Eukaryota, Viridiplantae, Streptophyta, Magnoliopsida, Lamiales, Lamiaceae. The record is from RefSeq and is a predicted model, not a curated record. The transcript has 3 exons.
UAUCAAUUCUCAAUUCUCUCAUUCGACCUGUCCCUCUCUGCGUGAUUCUAGAAAUCUCCACCUCCACAGCGACAUCAUCGUAGAUCUCGUCGUCGUCGUCGGCACCGCCGUCGAAAGCGGAUCUUCUGUAGCAGAUGGGGAUUCCGAUCCAGUACGUGAGGGAAGUGAAGGAAGGGCGGGAGGUGUGGGUGCGGCACAGGAAGGAGGCGACAUAGCGGCUGGAGCAGCUGGAGUCAGAGAAGGCCGAAGGCGCAACAAAGCUUGAGGGAGGAGGAGAUGGCGUAUGUUACCAGGAUGAAAGGAGAGUACAUGGAGCCAGUGGCGGAUCAGGAGAGCCCCCAAAUUUUGAAUGUUUUUUUUUAAUUUUUAUAUAUAUAAAUAAAAAAUAAUAGUAAUAAAACUAAAUACUCCAUGCUGUAAAACACAAACGGGACAGACUAAAUUUGAAACCCUUCUUGCUUGCUGCCGCUUCCAGAGUCGCCCCUGUCCGGCCACAACACCACCGCCGCUCGCGUUCCACGCCGACGCUGCGUCGGCUGCUCGUGACUCUCACACAUCCGCCAUCCGUGAUGGAUGUAUGGGCAUAGAUAUUGGGCCAUAUUCUAUUAAAUAUUCGACGAAACUCUUGAUUCUACUAAGACAAUCAUCUGGAAUGGCCUUAUGAAUUCGACAAGUUUGCAGCUGGAACAGAGGUCCAAGGGCUGUGAGAUGAGAGUCCCAACAACCGGGAUUGCUCCAGUGUCGACCUCUGUGUCUUUAGCCAUCUCGCGAGGUCGUGAAGGCCUUGGCGUGAACGGAUCAACAUCAGUCACAACAAUCUCACCCUCUCCAACAGUAGGGAGAUGAGGAACAGGGAGGGUCUCACAGAUGGGGCUCAUCAACUGCUCGGUAGUAUCGAUGGCCUCGGUAGUGUCGAUGGUCAUCGGAGUAAUAAAGGAUAAGUAUCCGAAAGUCGGGGAGUACAUCCCGGGAGAAUACAUGGGGUAAUGGUGGUCCAAGACGGCAAUAGGAGGAACCUCCCCUUCGGGCAUAAUGCCCUGAGGAAGUGAAGGAAGAGGGUCAGUAAUCGGCUGGGAGCUAGGAAGGUCUAGUCCCAAUGCCACAAAAGGAUCAUCAGUCUCAUGAAGACCCUGAGGCUGGCUCUCAGCGUCUCCCUCUCGGGUGUCACUCUCUAUCAGAUAAAAGUACGACGGGUUCGCAUUAACCACGAAACGGCUAAUUAGAAUGGCUAUGUACUCUGGAAAUCGCACCUCGAAACCUUCCAUUACCAACGGGUCAUAGAAGUCAGGGGCUAUGAAAUGACACCAAGCCUACCAAUGAGGUGGCAUCUUAUGCGGCAGGAUCUGCAUGGCCUGCUGAGCAGUGACCCCGUACUCUACGGCAUCAAUCCACCUGUGGUGGAAGCGAGCCAAAAACUCUCUUAUAGACUCAUGGUGCUCCAAGGUACAGUCAUAGAAGGCUUGCACUAUUUCAAAUCCGUUUGCCAUGCUAUAAACAAAAAUAACAACUCUUGUUACUCAAACUAUGUCAAGAAUGACUUACUCGCUUAUUACUCAAUAACAUACUCGUUUGUCGGUGUUCCUCUAGGAUUCCCGUAGUGCAUUAGUAUCAACAUUGAUUCGGAUAAAAAUUCCACCAUCUCACUUAUCCAAUCAACCAAAAUAAGAUAUCAAAUUAUAAU